GAUGAACGCUGGCGGCGUGCCUAAUACAUGCAAGUCGAGCGAACAGAUGAGGAGCUUGCUCCUCUGACGUUAGCGGCGGACGGGUGAGUAACACGUGGAUAACCUACCUAUAAGACUGGGAUAACUUCGGGAAACCGGAGCUACUACUGGAUAAUAUAUUGAACCGCAUGGUUCAAUAGUGAAAGACGGUUUUGCUGUCACUUAUAGACGGAUCCGCGCCGCAUUAGCUAGUUGGUAAGGUAACGGCUUACCAAGGCAACGAUGCGUAGCCGACCUGAGAGGAUGAUCGGCCACACUGGAACUGAGACACGGUCCAGACUCCUACGGGAGGCAGCAGUAGGGAAUCUUCGGCAAUGGGCGAAAGCCUGACGGAGCAACGCCGCGUGAGUGAUGAAGGUCUUCGGGUCGUAAAACUCUGUUAUUAGGGAAGAACAAAUGUGUAAGUAACUAUGCACGUCUUGACGGUACCUAAUCAGAAAGCCACGGCUAACUACGUG
Molecule: ribosomal RNA, 497 nt
Filed under: uncultured bacterium
Lineage: Bacteria
Description: partial 16S ribosomal RNA
Rfam family: Bacterial small subunit ribosomal RNA
Source: RNAcentral